AUGGAGAUUGACUUCUUGGAGCUAGUCAACGUCUGGAAAUCACGCGGCAACUCUCGCUCAAUUGUUGCGCCUAUCUUGGAGGAAUUAGAGGAGAUUAGUGCUAGUUUUGCUUCUUUGACGGUUACUCAUAUUGGUAGAUCUUGUAAUGUACCAGCCCAUCAGUGUGCUCGUCUCGCUUGUUCACUGGAUGGCACUGAAAGCUGGAUUGAUCCCAGCCCUGAGUUCUUACGUUCUUGUUUAAGAACUGAUUGUAACCUCAUGCUACUUGAUCAAUAA
Molecule: ribosomal RNA, 276 nt
Filed under: Triticum aestivum (bread wheat)
Lineage: Eukaryota; Viridiplantae; Streptophyta; Magnoliopsida; Poales; Poaceae
Description: partial small subunit ribosomal RNA
Source: RNAcentral